GAGACAAGAAAAUACUUUCACAACUCAAGACAAGUUAAAUAUCCACUUAUGGGAACAGUGCUGAAGGCCUGGACUAGGAUGGUAGCAAUGGAGACAGACUAAAGAAAGAGAUGCAAUCAUUCCCUCGCAUAUGGUGCGUAUGAAGAUGGGAUCAUUAUAGGAAAGGUGAAGGAGAUGCAGUCAUUAUGCUCUAUAUACACCCAUUUUUAUGGCUAGCAGCUGAAGAUGGGAUGCUUUCUUUGCUGGAAGACCUAUUACCUGUUAGGUUGCAAAAGAUGUGAUCAUCUUCCUAAACAAUAAUUUAGAGUCCCAUAACAAUUUUAAGUGUGCUGAUCAUGAAAAUUUGAAUACAUUGUAUUGGGAAUAUAAUGGAAGUGAGAUGCCUCAUGUCAUGAGAAAAUCUGACAUAAACUCCUUAAGCAUGAGAGGCCAUGUGGGUAUGGAAGCCCUGAAGGGGAGGAAAAAACAGCCAGACCCUAGCUAUUCCAGUCUUCCCAACUGAGGUGCCAGACUUGUGAAUGAGGCCAUCUUGCAUCAUCUAGGCCUAGCAGAGCUGCCAACUGACUGCAGAUACAUGAGUCAAUCCAGCUAAUGCCACAUGGAGCAGAGACAAGCCGCCCAGCUGAGCCCAGUCCAGAUGACAGAAUCAUGAGCAAAUAAGGUUGUUGUUCUUUUAAGCUACUAAAUUUUCGGGUGAUUUGUUACACAGUAAUAAAUAACUGAAACAACUA
Molecule: long non-coding RNA, 731 nt
Filed under: Pan troglodytes (chimpanzee)
Lineage: Eukaryota; Metazoa; Chordata; Mammalia; Primates; Hominidae
Description: lincRNA
Source: RNAcentral